UGAACACCCAGCUGCAGAGCGGAGGCUCAGAAAUGGAUGCUUGCUCACCUCCUGCAUGUGGUGUCCUAGAAAGCCUCUUGUUUCUCCAGCUGUCCUCCCCGGCAGCAUUGGCAUCACCUGGGAGAUUGCUAGAGAUGCAGAUCCCAGGCCCUCGCAGAUCCAUGGAGUCAUCACCUGCAUUUUAGCAAGAGUUCCAGGUGAUUCGUGUGCACAUUACAGUUUGAAAAAUAUUGGCCAACACACAUCAGAGGCACUCAAUAGAUAUCUGGUGAAUGAAUGAGGAGUGAGUAAAUGAAUAAAGUAAAAUACAGAUGACCCUCAAUUUGGACAUAAUGCAUUCCUAGAGACUGCUUCAUAAAGGAUAUUGCUUAAAGGCAAAACACCGACUGCAAGAAUGCCACCACUUUUGUCUGUAAAAUUCAUUACAAAUUGACAGCAGAUAAAGUAGCAUAUAUAUCUCUUCAUUAGGUAACAGCAAAUAAAUGGAAAGGCAAAAGAGGGCCACAAUGAAGCAUGAACAAUGUAUAGAAUUCUAGUAAAAGAUGAUUGCAUAAGGACAUUUUUACCUUGCUUCUCUUUAUGAAAGUGUCCAUCAAUAUGAAGAAAAAGAAGGGAAGAACCACCAUCUUCUCCAUGACAGCAUGCCUAAAGCUAGUCUAAUCUUCUCUCUGUCUUGAAAGGUUUUAUGGAUCCUGUGAGUCUGCUUAUCACAGUCAUUUGAAGAGAGAAACAACAACUGCCAAUCAUGAAACAGAGGAUGUGUGAGAUAUGGGCUUGCUGUGAACCAAGAUGAUCCAAAGGGGAUGCUGAAAGCUUAGCAGAACCAAAUACUCAAAUAGAAAAAAUGUGGCUGAUUUGCUUCAACAGCUUUCCGAGAUAAUAUACCAAAGUGGAAACUGAUAGCUUCUCCAGAUCAUACUUGCUCAUUCUGUCCCCGAUUCUUGGGCAGAACUCUGGUCUAGAGAGAACUUUCCUUAUUCCAAGAAGCACCGUGAGCAGAAGACCUAAAACAAGACCCAUAGAGUAAAGGGACAUGGGAAACAAAAUGGCAAAUCUGACAUCAGAAAAAAAUGAAGAAGAAAAUAAAUAAAAAAUAUAGCCUUCAUACUUUUAAGUAAAAUGAGUGUAAGCUAGUUGCAAAAGACAUAAAAUUAAUAAAAGAUAACAACUUAAUAAAAGAUAUCAAAUCUAAUCUGUCUCUCUCACAUGCACAGACACACACACACACACACACACACACACACACACACAAAGUGUUGAAAGGAUAAUCAGGCAGGCCGAUUUUAAGAAAUAAAUGUAAAAAUAAAGUCAUCAAAAACUGUCACCGCAUUAAGAACCUAAAGGAUUAAGAAAGACAACAUAGAAAAUAGCAUCCAUGAGCAUAGAAGGCUUGAAAUAAUCACAGAAAAAGAAAUGAAACAAAAAAAUUAGAAAGCGAUUAGAUACAAUAUUAUAGAUAUGGAAGUCAGAC
Molecule: long non-coding RNA, 1471 nt
Filed under: Homo sapiens (human)
Lineage: Eukaryota; Metazoa; Chordata; Mammalia; Primates; Hominidae
Description: HSALNT0038327
Source: RNAcentral